This 496-nucleotide ribosomal RNA is filed under the name uncultured bacterium. Its description in RNAcentral is "partial 16S ribosomal RNA". It matches the Rfam family "Bacterial small subunit ribosomal RNA", at positions 28 to 506 of the family's 1533-position model. The record is from RNAcentral.
GAUGAACGCUGGCGGCGUGCCUAAUACAUGCAAGUCGAGCGAACAGACGAGGAGCUUGCUCCUCUGACGUUAGCGGCGGACGGGUGAGUAACACGUGGAUAACCUACCUAUAAGACUGGGAUAACUUCGGGAAACCGGAGCUAAUACCGGAUAAUAUAUUGAACCGCAUGGUUCAAUAGUGAAAGACGGUUUUGCUGUCACUUAUAGAUGGAUCCGCGCCGCAUUAGCUAGUUGGUAAGGUAACGGCUUACCAAGGCAACGAUGCGUAGCCGACCUGAGAGGGUGAUCGGCCACACUGGAACUGAGACACGGUCCAGACUCCUACGGGAGGCAGCGGUAGGGAAUCUUCCGCAAUGGGCGAAAGCUUGACGGAGCAACGCCGCGUGAGUGAUGAAGGUCUUCGGAUCGUAAAACUCUGUUAUUAGGGAAGAACAAAUGUGUAAGUAACUAUGCACGUCUUGACGGUACCUAAUCAGAAAGCCACGGCUAACUACGU